AUCCAGCUGACGAGUUUCAAAUAGGACGAAAUGAGAGCCCUGGAU
This 45-nucleotide non-coding RNA is filed under the name Schistosoma curassoni. The record is from RNAcentral. Lineage: Eukaryota; Metazoa; Platyhelminthes; Trematoda; Strigeidida; Schistosomatidae.